CCUACGGGUGGCAGCAGUGAGGAAUAUUGGUCAAUGGGCGGGAGCCUGAACCAGCCAAGCCGCGUGAGGGAAGAAGGUACAGCGUAUCGUAAACCUCUUUUGUCAGGGAACAAAGGCGGGGACUAGUCCCCGGAUGAGGGUACCUGACUAAGAAGCCCCGGCUUACUACGUGCCAGCAGCCGCGGUAAUACGUAGGGGGCAAGCGUUAUCCGGAUUCACUGGGCGUAAAGGGAGCGCAGGCGGCAUGGCAAGUCUGAGGUGAAAACCCGGGGCCCAACCCCGGGAGUGCAUUGGAAACUGGCAGGCUGGAGUGUCGGAGGGGUAAGCGGAAUUCCUAGUGUAGCGGUGAAAUGCGUAGAUAUUAGGAGGAACACCAGUGGCGAAGGCGGCUUACUGGACUGUAACUGACGUUGAGGCUCGAAAGCGUGGGGAGCAAACAGGAUUAGAUACCCGUGUAGUC
Molecule: ribosomal RNA, 460 nt
Filed under: uncultured bacterium
Lineage: Bacteria
Description: partial 16S ribosomal RNA
Rfam family: Bacterial small subunit ribosomal RNA
Source: RNAcentral